RNAcentral lists this ribosomal RNA (533 nucleotides) under Salmonella enterica. Its description in RNAcentral is "partial 23S ribosomal RNA". It matches the Rfam family "Bacterial large subunit ribosomal RNA", at positions 711 to 1224 of the family's 2925-position model. Lineage: Bacteria; Pseudomonadati; Pseudomonadota; Gammaproteobacteria; Enterobacterales; Enterobacteriaceae. The record is from RNAcentral. RNAcentral also lists the same sequence under 3 other names.
AGACCCGAAACCCGGUGAUCUAGCCAUGGGCAGGUUGAAGGUUGGGUAACACUAACUGGAGGACCGAACCGACUAAUGUUGAAAAAUUAGCGGAUGACCUGUGGCUGGGGGUGAAAGGCCAAUCAAACCGGGAGAUAGCUGGUUCUCCCCGAAAGCUAUUUAGGUAGCGCCUCGUGAAUUCAUCUCCGGGGGUAGAGCACUGUUUCGGCUAGGGGGCCAUCCCGGCUUACCAACCCGAUGCAAACUGCGAAUACCGGAGAAUGUUAUCACGGGAGACACACGGCGGGUGCUAACGUCCGUCGUGAAGAGGGAAACAACCCAGACCGCCAGCUAAGGUCCCAAAGUCAUGGUUAAGUGGGAAACGAUGUGGGAAGGCCCAGACAGCCAGGAUGUUGGCUUAGAAGCAGCCAUCAUUUAAAGAAAGCGUAAUAGCUCACUGGUCGAGUCGGCCUGCGCGGAAGAUGUAACGGGGCUAAACCAUGCACCGAAGCUGCGGCAGCGAACGUAUCACUUAAAGCGAUUCAGCGGGUUAC